CUUUCAUGGAGAGUUUGAUCCUGGCUCAGGACGAACGCUGGCGGCGUGCCUAAUACAUGCAAGUCGAGCGAAUCUU
RNAcentral lists this ribosomal RNA (76 nucleotides) under Neobacillus bataviensis. RNAcentral describes it as "Bacillus bataviensis partial 16S ribosomal RNA". It matches the Rfam family "Bacterial small subunit ribosomal RNA", at positions 1 to 74 of the family's 1533-position model. Lineage: Bacteria; Bacillati; Bacillota; Bacilli; Caryophanales; Bacillaceae. The record is from RNAcentral.